GGAAGGGGGUCACCCUCCCAUACUCGCCUGAGGGGGAAUGGAUCCUCCGUAAUUAUGCCCGGCUGUGGGAAAGCAUCUCCCAGGAGGAGCCACAGAGGUCCCCUCCACCUACCCAGCUGCCAACGAUCCCUGAGGGUCGUGUCCUGGCCGUGGCAACCCUGGGGGAUCAGGCAAGCCCCUCCCAGAGUCCUGAGGUGCCCUCCACAGCCAGCAGUCUCCCCAUGAAACGAGGGAGACGGUUUUCAUGGGAGUCAACUUCUGAGUCUUCGGCGUCCGAGACUGCCCUGUCCGAGACCAAACUCCCCCAACCCGCCUCUGACCCAGCUGUGGCCUCUGCACCGCGCCCAAGGAGGAAGAGGAGGAAGAGGGGGCCUGCCGGUCCUGUGACCCUGUCUCCUCCCGUGCCAGCAGCGGAGAGCGCUGGCGUGCCCGUGCCAGCAGCGGAGAGCGCUGGCGUGCCCGAGCCAGCAGCAGUGAGCGUGCCCGAGUCAGCAGCGGUGAGCGCUGGCGUGCCCGAGCCGGCAAAGAAGAGGGCUGUAUGCAAGUCGGCAGUCGUGAGAGCGGAGGAGAGUGGCGCGGCCGACUCUGCAGCCAAGACUCUAGUACAGUGUGUCUCAUCUCGUAAGGAGAUGCCAAUUGUCUUAGCGGCUAAGGCCUUUUCUGAUUAUUUGUCUAGUCUUGUCCGUAUCCUAGAAGUCCCCGUCAGUCCUGUCUUGUCCUCAGACCCUGUCCCCAGAAAUCCCGAGUGUCCUGAUGUCGUCUCCCCGUGCCCAGUAGAUGUUGUCUCCCCGUGCCCUGUUGAUGUAGUCGCCCCUCGUCCCGUUGAUGUAGCCCCGUGUCCCGUGGAUGUUGCCCCGUGUCCCGUGAGUGUUGCCCCGUGUCCAGCUGAUAUUGCCCCGUGUCCUGUAGAUGUUGCCCCGUGUCCCGUGAGUGUUGCCCCGUGUCCAGCUGAUAUUGCCCCGUGUCCUGUAGAUGUAGCCCCGUGUCCAGUGAAUGUUGCCCCGUGUCCCGUAGAUGUCCCGUGUCCUGUUGUCUCCCCGUGUCCAG
RNAcentral lists this long non-coding RNA (1047 nucleotides) under Carassius auratus (goldfish). Its description in RNAcentral is "lncRNA (ENSCARG00000067150.1)". Lineage: Eukaryota; Metazoa; Chordata; Actinopteri; Cypriniformes; Cyprinidae. The record is from RNAcentral.